Molecule: ribosomal RNA, 253 nt
Filed under: uncultured bacterium
Lineage: Bacteria
Description: partial 16S ribosomal RNA
Rfam family: Bacterial small subunit ribosomal RNA
Source: RNAcentral
CACGUAGGCACCAAGCGUUGUCCGGAUUUAUUGGGCGUAAAGAGCGUGUAGGCGGCCAGACAGGUCCGUUGUGAAAACUCGAGGCUCAACCUCGAGACGCCGAUGGAAACCGUAUGGCUAGAGUCCGGAAGAGGAGAGUGGAAUUCCCGGUGUAGCGGUGAAAUGCGCAGAUAUCAGGAGGAACACCGGUGGCGAAGGCGGGUCUCUGGGCCGACAUUGACGCUGAGGAGCGAAAGCGUGGGGAGCGAACAGG